AAGUCGUAACAAGGUUUCCGUAGGUGAACCUGCGGAAGGAUCAUUAACACGUAUCCAACGUUAAACCCCCCGUGAACCUUCAGUGCGCUCGCACUUUCUUAGAAAAGGUAGCAAUCCCUGGUAAAUCAUUGCCGAACAGUUUUGAUUCAGGGACUUCUGCGUAGACUGUGCUUGAGCGUGAGGCAAGUGGCCUGGCAUUCCUCUGCUUGUUGGUGUCUGAAAGUGUCACCAGCUCUGUACGAAUGGCGCAGUCACGAUCGCUAGAGGCCGACACGGCCGGCAAUCCAAGUGGUUGUACUUCGGUACCCCUACAUCGGUACACCCCCGAUGAAAUGUCAAUUUCGCGAAUGGACUAAAAGCCUCGCACAAAACCGAACAACUGUUAACAAUGGAUAUCUUGGUUCUC
Molecule: unclassified non-coding RNA, 406 nt
Filed under: fungal sp.
Lineage: Eukaryota; Fungi
Description: partial internal transcribed spacer region
Rfam family: Eukaryotic small subunit ribosomal RNA (bases 1-46)
Source: RNAcentral